This 1343-nucleotide ribosomal RNA is filed under the name uncultured bacterium. Its description in RNAcentral is "16S ribosomal RNA". It matches the Rfam family "Bacterial small subunit ribosomal RNA", at positions 28 to 1378 of the family's 1533-position model. The record is from RNAcentral.
GACGAACGCUGGCGGCGUGCUUAACACAUGCAAGUCGAACGGAAAGGCCCUGCUUUUGUGGGGUGCUCGAGUGGCGAACGGGUGAGUAACACGUGAGUAACCUGCCCUUGACUUUGGGAUAACUUCAGGAAACUGGGGCUAAUACCGGAUAGGAGCUCCUGCUGCAUGGUGGGGGUUGGAAAGUUUCGGCGGUUGGGGAUGGACUCGCGGCUUAUCAGCUUGUUGGUGGGGUAGUGGCUUACCAAGGCUUUGACGGGUAGCCGGCCUGAGAGGGUGGCCGGCCACAUUGGGACUGAGAUACGGCCCAGACUCCUACGGGAGGCAGCAGUGGGGAAUAUUGCACAAUGGGCGGAAGCCUGAUGCAGCAACGCCGCGUGCGGGAUGACGGCCUUCGGGUUGUAAACCGCUUUCGCCUGUGACGAAGCGUGAGUGACGGUAAUGGGUAAAGAAGCACCGGCUAACUACGUGCCAGCAGCCGCGGUGAUACGUAGGGUGCGAGCGUUGUCCGGAUUUAUUGGGCGUAAAGGGCUCGUAGGUGGUUGAUCGCGUCGGAAGUGUAAUCUUGGGGCUUAACCCUGAGCGUGCUUUCGAUACGGGUUGACUUGAGGAAGGUAGGGGAGAAUGGAAUUCCUGGUGGAGCGGUGGAAUGCGCAGAUAUCAGGAGGAACACCAGUGGCGAAGGCGGUUCUCUGGGCCUUUCCUGACGCUGAGGAGCGAAAGCGUGGGGAGCGAACAGGCUUAGAUACCCUGGUAGUCCACGCUGUAAACGGUGGGUACUAGGUGUGGGGUCCAUUCCACGGGUUCCGUGCCGUAGCUAACGCUUUAAGUACCCCGCCUGGGGAGUACGGCCGCAAGGCUAAAACUCAAAGGAAUUGACGGGGCCCCGCACAAGCGGCGGAGCAUGCGGAUUAAUUCGGUGCAACGCGUAGAACCUUACCUGGGUUUGACAUGGAUCGGGAGCGCUCAGAGAUGGGUGUGCCUCUUUUGGGGUCGGUUCACAGGUGGUGCAUGGCUGUCGUCAGCUCGUGUCGUGAGAUGUUGGGUUAAGUCCCGCAACGAGCGCAACCCUUGUUCACUGUUGCCAGCACGUUAUGGUGGGGACUCAGUGGAGACCGCCGGGGUCAACUCGGAGGAAGGUGGGGAUGACGUCAAGUCAUCAUGCCCCUUAUGUCCAGGGCUUCACGCAUGCUACAAUGGCUGGUACAGAGAGUGGCGAGCCUGUGAGGGUGAGCGAAUCUCGGAAAGCCGGUCUCAGUUCGGAUUGGGGUCUGCAACUCGACCUCAUGAAGUCGGAGUCGCUAGUAAUCGCAGAUCAGCAACGCUGCGGUGAAUACGUUCCCGGG